UGCCAAGAGAGUUUACUUACUCAGUCUGCUCACAGAGCAGCUUGGAAGUGCUGAGGAUUUCACAUCCGCCCUCCAUUUCAGUUCUCAACCACUGAGGGGUGACAUUCAGGGACUAAAUUCCAACUAUAUCUCCCCGGGAUUGUUCUCAGGGCCAUUCUGAGUUUCUCAGAGGGUUCCCAGAGAGAUUGAACCUCAGUUGCCUACCACAGUAACAUACAUAUCAAGGCAAGCUUUUUGGCUUUUAUUCUUUCAGGUCUAACUUUCCAUAUUCCCUCUCUUCCUUCCUUGGAUGGCUUUCCAAAUAAAUGACUUAUCUCCAAGUCCUUUUCUCAGAGUCUGCUUUUGGAGGAACCCAAAGGAAGAUGGAAAACUUCUCCCUUAUGGGAGAAGAGGAGACAAGAAGAAGGAAUAUUGCUUGAAGGUCAAGAAGAGGGUACAGAGCAGAACAAAAUGGAGGAAGUUUGUAGGGUUAGCUCUUUCACCCAUCCCACUGGCUACCAUCGUGGUACUUGCAGAAACCCUAGAUGCCACAUGUUGAAUACUAGCCCGGGUCUCCAAGUGACCGUGUGGAGGAGAGCAGCUUGCUGACCUGGAAUACCCACCUUGGACUGAACUAUGUGAGAAGGAAAUGACCUUCAUUGUUAAGUUUCUCGUAGCUGCUUAAUGCUUAGUUUAACUCACGUAUAUAUACAUAUAAAUACUUAUAUAUUUCCUUUGACUCCAUCCUGAUCUGUAACCUGUUUGGGCUGAUUUAGAGUAUCCCAGAUGAGUACAGACAGUUGGUAAAUGUUGUCCAUGCAGACAGUUUUUGUUGUUGGCCAGUUCAUGAAUUUAUCCACCCAUCCAUCCACUAAUUCAUCCAACCCUCAUGCCUACUAUUUUGAGAUCUGUGUUAAAAUGAUUUGUAUGUAUAAGUAUGUAUAAGUAAGUAUGUAUAAGACCCUUGGCUGGGGGAUAUCCAGGGAACAUGAGUAACCCAAAGAUGAAUUAUACUCAAGAACUGAAAGUUCUUGCUUUCAGGAGGCUCAUAGUCCAGAGACAUUAGGUGGAGACUAAAUCAUUGAAAUAAGGAUAAUUAGGAUAAAUUUUUAUUCUAGGAAUUUUUAAUUAAAUUUGAAAAAAGCUAGUUUUAUUUCUAUUAUUUUAUUAUUAUUGCUGCUAUUUUUUGAGAAUGCUCUUCCUGGUAAGUUUUUGUAUGCAUUUUUGAGACCAGUGUUUACAGAAGGACCCUUUAUAUUUAAUGGCAAUAAAACACGCAUGAGAAAAAAACA
RNAcentral lists this long non-coding RNA (1271 nucleotides) under Neogale vison (American mink). RNAcentral's name for it is "Neovison vison (American mink) lncRNA (ENSNVIG00000003385.1)". The record is from RNAcentral. Lineage: Eukaryota; Metazoa; Chordata; Mammalia; Carnivora; Mustelidae.